Molecule: ribosomal RNA, 609 nt
Filed under: uncultured bacterium
Lineage: Bacteria
Description: bacterial SSU rRNA
Rfam family: Bacterial small subunit ribosomal RNA (bases 1-525)
Source: RNAcentral
CCUACGGGAGGCAGCAGUAGGGAAUUUUCCACAAUGGGCGAAAGCCUGAUGGAGCAAUACCGCGUGCAGGAUGAAGGCCUUCGGGUCGUAAACUGCUUUUAUGUGCGAAGAAUUUGACGGUAACACAUGAAUAAGGAUCGGCUAACUACGUGCCAGCAGCCGCGGUCAUACGUAGGAUCCAAGCGUUAUCCGGAAUUACUGGGCGUAAAGAGUUGCGUAGGUGGCAUUAUAAGUGGAGCGUGAAAGCGUGCGGCUCAACCGCAUUAUUGCGUUCCAAACUGUGAAGCUUGAGUAUGGGAGAGGUAGAUGGAAUUUCUAGUGUAGGAGUGAAAUCCGUAGAUAUUAGAAGGAACACCGAUGGCGUAGGCAGUCUACUGGCCCAUUACUGACACUAAGGCACGAAAGCGUGGGGAGCAAACGGGAUUAGAUACCCCGGUAGUCCACGCUGUAAACUAUGGAUGCUAGCUGUGACACACANACGACUCGUGUCGUAGACGACGUAACGUACGUUAAGUACACUCCGCCGUCGGGAGGUACGGUCGCGAGAGUAAACUACAANAGUAAGUAGACGGCGUGAGACGUGCCGACGGACGACGACGAGGGAGGAGG